Molecule: ribosomal RNA, 492 nt
Filed under: uncultured bacterium
Lineage: Bacteria
Description: partial 16S ribosomal RNA
Rfam family: Bacterial small subunit ribosomal RNA
Source: RNAcentral
AGUGAACGCUGGCGGUAGGCCUAACACAUGCAAGUCGAACGGCAGCACAGUAAGAGCUUGCUCUUACGGGUGGCGAGUGGCGGACGGGUGAGGAAUACAUCGGAAUCUACUUUUUCGUGGGGGAUAACGUAGGGAAACUUACGCUAAUACCGCAUACGACCUACGGGUGAAAGUAGGGGAUCUUCGGACCUUGCGCGAUUGAAUGAGCCGAUGUCGGAUUAGCUAGUUGGCGGGGUAAAGGCCCACCAAGGCGACGAUCCGUAGCUGGUCUGAGAGGAUGAUCAGCCACACUGGAACUGAGACACGGUCCAGACUCCUACGGGGGGCAGCAGUGGGGAAUAUUGGACAAUGGGCGCAAGCCUGAUCCAGCCAUACCGCGUGGGUGAAGAAGGCCUUCGGGUUGUAAAGCCCUUUUGUUGGGAAAGAAAAGCAGCAGGUUAAUACCCCACUGUUCUGACGGUACCCAAAGAAUAAGCACCGGCUAACUUCGUG